CAUGGACCCGGGUGCGAUCCCCGGGUGGCUCUUCCGGCCGCCGAUCCGCCGGACAACC
Molecule: non-coding RNA, 58 nt
Organism: Paracoccus yeei
Lineage: Bacteria; Pseudomonadati; Pseudomonadota; Alphaproteobacteria; Rhodobacterales; Paracoccaceae
Source: Rfam